This 787-nucleotide unclassified non-coding RNA is filed under the name Hevea brasiliensis (rubber tree). The record is from RNAcentral. Lineage: Eukaryota; Viridiplantae; Streptophyta; Magnoliopsida; Malpighiales; Euphorbiaceae.
UCUUUGUCUCCCUCCAAUAGAGUCUUUGUAUUGUCUGUUUCUUCUAUAUCUGUACCACAGGAUUGGAAGGAAGCAUACCUUGAUCCAAAGCAGAGGGCAACUAUGGUUGAAGAGAUGAAGGCUUUGGCAAAAAAUGAGACCUAGGAUCUUGUUAGCCUUCCAUUGGAGAAGAAACUGGCUAGACACAAAUGGGUGUUUACUGUAAAAUGUAAAGCAAAUGGCUCCAUUAAAAAAAUAUAAAGCCAAGCUAGCGGCAAAAGGCUUUACUUGAGACAUAUAGGGUAGAUUAUCAGGAAACUUUUGGCCCUGUUGUAAAGAUGAAUACUAGCAGGAUCUUACUGUCAUGUGCUGUAAACCUUGAAUGGGACAUAUAGCAAUUUGAUAUUAAAAAUGUUUUCUUUUUUUUCAAGGAGAUUUAGAAGAUGAGGUCUACAUGGGGAUUCCUCCAAGAUUUAAGGAUAAAAAGACCAAACGAAAAGCCUACAGAUUGAAGAAGGCAUUAUAUAGCUUGAAGCAGUCACCAAGAGCAUGGUUGGACAAGUUUAGUAAGGCCAUGAUUUCCUUUUGAUUCUAUCAAGCAAUGCUUUUGAUAAUCCAACCCAUAUGUCUAAGUAAAUCCUUUUACCACCAACCUGGCCUUAUAUCUUUCAAUGGAACUAUUUUCUUUAUGCUCUAUAGUGAACACCUAUUUGCAUCCAACCAGUUUCUUCCCCAGAGGAAGAAUAACAAGAUCCCAUGUCUAAUUUUUUUGCCAAAACCUUCAUCUCUUCUACUAUAAUUGCCUUUC